ACUACGAGUUGGUUAAGCACAGAAGUCAGCAGAAGUCAUAGUACUACUUAGAAACGGACAAGCGGUGGGAUUGCUUAUACCAUACCCCAUCAGGAACAACAGUAGGAAGGAC
Gillisia limnaea DSM 15749 is the source of this 112-nucleotide non-coding RNA. NCBI's taxonomy places the organism in Bacteria, Pseudomonadati, Bacteroidota, Flavobacteriia, Flavobacteriales, Flavobacteriaceae. The record is from Rfam.